RNAcentral lists this ribosomal RNA (370 nucleotides) under Klebsiella pneumoniae. RNAcentral's name for it is "bacterial SSU rRNA". It matches the Rfam family "Bacterial small subunit ribosomal RNA", at positions 632 to 1001 of the family's 1533-position model. RNAcentral also lists the same sequence under 1 other name. Lineage: Bacteria; Pseudomonadati; Pseudomonadota; Gammaproteobacteria; Enterobacterales; Enterobacteriaceae. The record is from RNAcentral.
ACUGGCAGGCUAGAGUCUUGUAGAGGGGGGUAGAAUUCCAGGUGUAGCGGUGAAAUGCGUAGAGAUCUGGAGGAAUACCGGUGGCGAAGGCGGCCCCCUGGACAAAGACUGACGCUCAGGUGCGAAAGCGUGGGGAGCAAACAGGAUUAGAUACCCUGGUAGUCCACGCCGUAAACGAUGUCGAUUUGGAGGUUGUGCCCUUGAGGCGUGGCUUCCGGAGCUAACGCGUUAAAUCGACCGCCUGGGGAGUACGGCCGCAAGGUUAAAACUCAAAUGAAUUGACGGGGGCCCGCACAAGCGGUGGAGCAUGUGGUUUAAUUCGAUGCAACGCGAAGAACCUUACCUGGUCUUGACAUCCACAGAACUUUCC